Molecule: long non-coding RNA, 293 nt
Filed under: Rattus norvegicus (Norway rat)
Lineage: Eukaryota; Metazoa; Chordata; Mammalia; Rodentia; Muridae
Description: long non-coding RNA NONRATT032297
Source: RNAcentral
CUUGACCUUAAAAGCUAUAGACAAUCUAACUCAGCACAGACGGUUUCGCGGAGUACAAUCACUUCCUGGAAUUCUUGGGCCAGCGAAGUCGGAGCCGAGCAAAUCCUGUUUUCCUUGCAUUGUUUCCUGCAUGUGAAUAUCAUCAGUCUAGCAGAUGUUUCGUUGGGUCAAGGAAGGGAGGCUACGGUGCUUCCUCUCUGGUUAGAAUCUCAGCACGCACGCUUCUUUGUAACCAGCCCACAGCUGUGCCUCAGUGACUUGGAGAGAGUAUGAAGUUAGAAAUAAACUCAAAU